RNAcentral lists this ribosomal RNA (498 nucleotides) under uncultured bacterium. Its description in RNAcentral is "partial 16S ribosomal RNA". It matches the Rfam family "Bacterial small subunit ribosomal RNA", at positions 30 to 523 of the family's 1533-position model. The record is from RNAcentral.
AUUGAACGCUGGCGGCAUGCCUUACACAUGCAAGUCGAACGGUAACGCGGGGCAACCUGGCGACGAGUGGCGAACGGGUGAGUAAUGUAUCGGAACGUGCCCAGUUGUGGGGGAUAACUGCUCGAAAGAGCAGCUAAUACCGCAUACGACCUGAGGGUGAAAGCGGGGGAUCGCCAGACCUCGCGCAAUUGGAGCGGCCGAUAUCAGAUUAGGUAGUUGGUGGGGUAAAGGCUCACCAAGCCGACGAUCUGUAGCUGGUCUGAGAGGACGACCAGCCACACUGGGACUGAGACACGGCCCAGACUCCUACGGGAGGCAGCAGUGGGGGAUUUUGGACAAUGGACGCAAGUCUGAUCCAGCCAUGCCGCGUGCGGGAAGAAGGCCUUCGGGUUGUAAACCGCUUUUGUCAGGGAAGAAAAGGCUCCUUCUAAUAUAGGGGGCUCAUGACGGUACCUGAAGAAUAAGCACCGGCUAACUACGUGCCAGCCGCCGCCGUAA